GUCCACGCCCUAAACGAUGCAUAUUUGGUGUGGGCCAUUCAUUUGGUCUGUGCCGGAGCUAACGCGUUAAAUAUGCCGCCUGGGGAGUACAGUCGCAAGGCUUAAACUCAAAGGAAUUGACGGGGGCCCGCACAAGCGGUGGAGCAUGUGGUUUAAUUCGACGCAACGCGAAGAACCUUACCUGGGCUCGAAAUGCUAUGGACAGUCUGUGAAAGCGGAUCUUCCCGCAAGGGACCGUAGUAUAGGUGCUGCAUGGCUGUCGU
RNAcentral lists this ribosomal RNA (263 nucleotides) under uncultured bacterium. RNAcentral describes it as "partial 16S ribosomal RNA". It matches the Rfam family "Bacterial small subunit ribosomal RNA", at positions 793 to 1055 of the family's 1533-position model. The record is from RNAcentral.